Molecule: ribosomal RNA, 499 nt
Filed under: uncultured bacterium
Lineage: Bacteria
Description: partial 16S ribosomal RNA
Rfam family: Bacterial small subunit ribosomal RNA
Source: RNAcentral
ACUCAAAUGAAUAGACGGGGGCCCGCACAAGCGGUGGAGCAUGUGGUUUAAUUCGACGCAACGCGAAGAACCUUACCUGGGCUCGAACGGCUUCGGACAGUUCCUGGAAACAGGGAUUUCCCGCAAGGGACCGGAGUCGAGGUGCUGCAUGGCUGUCGUCAGCUCGUGUCGUGAGAUGUUGGGUUAAGUCCCGCAACGAGCGCAACCCUUGUCCUGUGUUGCCAUCAUUCAGUUGGGCACUCUCAGGAGACCGCCAGCGAUAAGUUGGAGGAAGGUGGGGAUGAUGUCAAGUCAUCAUGGCCUUUAUGUCCAGGGCUACACACGUGCUACAAUGGGCGGUACAAUGCGCUGCCAACCCGUAAGGGGGAGCUAAUCGCAAAAAACCGUCCUCAGUUCGGAUCGCAGGCUGCAACUCGCCUGCGUGAAGCUGGAAUCGCUAGUAAUGGCGUAUCAGAAUGAUGCCGUGAAUACGUUCCCGGGCCUUGUACACACCGCCCGU